UUACCACUUUGUGGUUCAUGACUGGGGUGAAGUCGUAACAAGGUAGCCCUAGGGGAACCUGGGGCUGGAUCACCUCCUUACGAAA
Molecule: ribosomal RNA, 85 nt
Filed under: Vibrio sp. S11_S32
Lineage: Bacteria; Pseudomonadati; Pseudomonadota; Gammaproteobacteria; Vibrionales; Vibrionaceae
Description: partial 16S ribosomal RNA
Rfam family: Bacterial small subunit ribosomal RNA
Source: RNAcentral